RNAcentral lists this ribosomal RNA (468 nucleotides) under uncultured bacterium. Its description in RNAcentral is "partial 16S ribosomal RNA". It matches the Rfam family "Bacterial small subunit ribosomal RNA", at positions 28 to 507 of the family's 1533-position model. The record is from RNAcentral.
GACGAACGCUGGCGGCGUGCUUAACACAUGCAAGUCGAACGGAAAGGCACUGCUUUUGUGGGGUGCUCGAGUGGCGAACGGGUGAGUAACACGUGAGUAACCUGCCCUUGACUUUGGGAUAACUUCAGGAAACUGGGGCUAAUACCGGAUAGGAGCUCCUGCUGCAUGGUGGGGGUUGGAAAGUUUCGGCGGUUGGGGAUGGACUCGCGGCUUAUCAGCUUGUUGGUGGGGUAGUGGCUUACCAAGGCUUUGACGGGUAGCCGGCCUGAGAGGGUGACCGGCCACAUUGGGACUGAGAUACGGCCCAGACUCCUACGGGAGGCAGCAGUGGGGAAUAUUGCACAAUGGGCGGAAGCCUGAUGCAGAAACGCCGCGUGCGGGAUGACGGCCUUCGGGUUGUAAACCGCUUUCGCCUGUGACGAAGCGUGAGUGACGGUAAUGGGUAAAGAAGCACCGGCUAACUACGUG